CCAAUCCAACCUUGUUAUGUACACAUCUAGCUAUCCCAUUUGGUUUUCCUAACAAAGUUGGAUUCAUUUCUUUUUGCUUUACAAACUGAUGCGGAUCUAUACUUCUUCUUUUUUUGAUUCACAGGUCACAGAUUUUCUCCAUUACUUCUGUUCCCCCUUUGCAGUUCACGAGCAAGAGUCACCAAAAGGUUGGAGGUGCAGAUUAGUACUUUGAUUUAGUAUUUCACUUGGUCCCUUGUUUGAUUCAUAAAAAUAUUGUACGGAAGAAUCUAUCUCUCAAUUAGUCAGUGAUGCCCUUUUUAGAAGUAUAGAUGGGACAUGGAUGUGAAUAUUUACUGGAUGAAAUCUCUUGUGCUUGUAUACAUUUGUUUGCUAGUCUUCAGCUGUAGUUGUUGGUCAUCGCUCUUGCCAUUGUGGCUGCUACUUGUAGAUGUGCAAAACCAAGAUUGUUCAUGAUGCCACGAGACAUAUACAUGAGAACUGGCAAGCCACAAUGGCUGCUAGACACCUGACAUAUACAUGAAAACUGGCAAGCCACAAUGGUUGUUAACUUGCCGUUGUGGCUGUAUGUAGAGUACAAUAUGUAUAUGUCAUAUAGCACUUACGUCUGUGUACCUGUAUGCUUCAUGCUUCGUGUCAAAUUCUAUUCCUGUACCGAUGAACGAAACAAAGAAAAAUAACUCCCCACUGAAUUCCCACUAAUAAUUCCCACCACACUCCAAACAUGGGAUUGAGACUAAUAGUCUACUUCCCAAGUCUAAUCCCUUCACA
RNAcentral lists this long non-coding RNA (771 nucleotides) under Hordeum vulgare. Its description in RNAcentral is "long non-coding RNA (HVUL_LNC007565)". Lineage: Eukaryota; Viridiplantae; Streptophyta; Magnoliopsida; Poales; Poaceae. The record is from RNAcentral.